UACGAAGGGGGCUAGCGUUGUUCGGAAUCACUGGGCGUAAAGCGCGCGUAGGUGGUUUAGUAAGUCAGAGGUGAAAGCCUGGAGCUCAACUCCAGAACUGCCUUUGAAACUGCUAAGCUGGAGUUUCGGAGAGGAUAGUGGAAUUCCUAGUGUAGAGGUGAAAUUCGUAGAUACUAGGAGGAACACCAGUGGCGAAGGCGACUAUCUGGACGAAUACUGACACUGAGGUGCGAAAGCGUGGGUAGCAAACAGG
Molecule: ribosomal RNA, 253 nt
Filed under: uncultured bacterium
Lineage: Bacteria
Description: partial 16S ribosomal RNA
Rfam family: Bacterial small subunit ribosomal RNA
Source: RNAcentral